GAAUUCACUAGUGAUUCAGGCCUAACACAUGCAAGUCGAGCGAUGAAGCUUCUUCGGAAGCGGAUUAGCGGCGGACGGGUGAGUAACACGGGGGUAACCUACCUUGUAGUGGGGAAUAGCCUUUCGAAAGAGAGAUUAAUACCGCAUAAGAUUGUAGCUUCGCAUGAAGCAGCAAUUAAAGGAGCAAUUCGCUACAAGAUGGACCCGCGGCGCAUUAGCUAGUUGGUGAGGUAAUGGCUCACCAAGGCAACGAUGCGUAGCCGACCUGAGAGGGUGAUCGGCCACAUUGGGACUGAGACACGGCCCAGACUCCUACGGGAGGCAGCAGUGGGGAAUAUUGCACAAGGGGGGAAACCCUGAUGCAGCAACGCCGCGUGAGUUAAAGGGUCUUCGGAUUGUAAAGCUCUGUCUUUGGGGACG
RNAcentral lists this ribosomal RNA (420 nucleotides) under uncultured bacterium. RNAcentral's name for it is "bacterial SSU rRNA". It matches the Rfam family "Bacterial small subunit ribosomal RNA", at positions 34 to 447 of the family's 1533-position model. The record is from RNAcentral.